CAGCAGCCGCGGGAAAACGUAGGGUGCGAGCGUUAAUCGGAAUUACUGGGCGUAAAGCGUGCGCAGGCGGAUUUGUAAGACAGGCGUGAAAUCCCCGGGCUCAACCUGGGAAUGGCGCUUGUGACUGCAAAGCUAGAGUGCGGCAGAGGGGGAUGGAAUUCCGCGUGUAGCAGUGAAAUGCGUAGAUAUGCGGAGGAACACCGAUGGCGAAGGCAAUCCCCUGGGCCUGCACUGACGCUCAUGCACGAAAGCGUGGGGAGCGAACAGGAUUAGAUACCCCUGUAGUCCCUGUCUCUUAUAC
RNAcentral lists this ribosomal RNA (301 nucleotides) under uncultured bacterium. RNAcentral's name for it is "partial 16S ribosomal RNA". It matches the Rfam family "Bacterial small subunit ribosomal RNA", at positions 509 to 807 of the family's 1533-position model. The record is from RNAcentral.